Small nucleolar RNA from Heterocephalus glaber (naked mole-rat), 70 nucleotides. Lineage: Eukaryota; Metazoa; Chordata; Mammalia; Rodentia; Bathyergidae. The record is from Ensembl.
ACUGGCAAGGAAGAUACACACUUGUCCUCACUUAGAUCAUAGUUCAUUGAUAGCAUUGUUCUGAGCCAGU